GCCGGAGGGGCUGCACUGCACCGAGCUUGCACAGGGCGAGGCGGGGGCAGGACCUGGGACCCAGCCACCCCGGAGGAAACCGGAGAGGAAGCCAGCUUGGUCUUGCUCUCUGCCUCGUCCCAAUCCCCGGCUCUUACCAAAUGCAGAUCCGUUGGCUGAAUGCCUUUUAGUCUGCAUACAUGCAUCUCAUACCGCACAGCCCAAAUUUCUACAACUUGUCCAGGUGCAGUCUCCUCAGAACUACAAAGCAAGAAAAGAUCACCUUUGGGCUCAGGAACUCACAGUCGUUCUCCCUCUCCCGGAAGGCACAAUGACCAGGACAGUACCGAGCUUUGCAGCCAUAUUGAACUCACCAUCAACUCAGCACAUUCAACUCAAUCAGUCAAAAUCGCCUUUUCCUGCUGGUAAAUAACACUGAAAUUGUGGGAAGAUGGGAUGGUAAGAACAAAGUCUGUCUCUGGAAGCACGGGUGCUGUCUCUGAAGACAAAUUGAUCGUAACACAAGCAGACCCGGUGGAACGACCUCCAUGCUGAACCCUCAGCUCCCCCUGCAUUUGGACCAUGGCCUGAUGGAAGAUAAAGAGACUGAUCUCAGAGUGGUACAGAUCUACAACCACGUGAAGAAUUGGAUUUAUAUUCAUCUGACUCCAGAAAGUUCCUGAGAUUCCUCUGCUUCAUCAUCUUUCCCAUGCC
RNAcentral lists this long non-coding RNA (693 nucleotides) under Pan troglodytes (chimpanzee). Its description in RNAcentral is "long non-coding RNA NONPTRT005175". The record is from RNAcentral. Lineage: Eukaryota; Metazoa; Chordata; Mammalia; Primates; Hominidae.